This 263-nucleotide ribosomal RNA is filed under the name uncultured bacterium. RNAcentral's name for it is "partial 16S ribosomal RNA". It matches the Rfam family "Bacterial small subunit ribosomal RNA", at positions 793 to 1055 of the family's 1533-position model. The record is from RNAcentral.
GUCCACGCCGUAAACGAUGAGUACUAGGUGUAGGAGGUAUCGACUCCUUCUGUGCCGCAGUUAACACAAUAAGUACUCCGCCUGGGAAGUACGGUCGCAAGAUUAAAACUCAAAGGAAUUGACGGGGGCCCGCACAAGCAGCGGAGCAUGUGGUUUAAUUCGAAGCAACGCGAAGAACCUUACCUAGACUUGACAUCUCCUGAAUAGCCGGUAACUCGGCGAAGCCUUUCGGGGCAGGAAGACAGGUGGUGCAUGGUUGUCGU